This is a long non-coding RNA of Chelonoidis abingdonii (Abingdon island giant tortoise), 1058 nucleotides long. RefSeq lists it as uncharacterized. The record is from RefSeq and is a predicted model, not a curated record. NCBI's taxonomy places the organism in Eukaryota, Metazoa, Chordata, Testudines, Testudinidae.
CCUUUGUGGCCCCUUUAUACCUCCAGAACAGCCUGAAGGGACUGCAGCACUACAGGGAACUGGACUCAUGGUUUGUUUAAGUUGCUCCUGUCGAAAGAUAGGAAAGACAGACUGGGUAAUUCUUUGGCAAUCACCAUACACCUAACCAUUUCUUCAGACCUAAUUUCAAUGCUCUUUCUUUCCUUGUAUUGUGUGUAUAUUUACUAUAAUCCAAACAUAUUUGCUAUGUUCUUCAUCAUUUGAGUGUUAGAAGUCUGGCAGCUGCACCUUCCACCCUGCCUGCAAUGGCAGCAUUGCUGAAAACAAUUCAGGUCAGGAAAUUGGAACUCUGGCCUUCUCCGCUGACAGUCUGAGAUCCUACCAACCAUAUGUAAUGAACAUUCAGCUCAGGUUUUGAAACAUAUUGGACUGCUAAAAUCAACAAAAAGCUGGCAGAGAAUGUACUUUGAGGUUAUUUUUAGAUUGACUCUGAGUGGACUUUUGACACCUAUUCAGCAGUGUGCCUUGGCACGCAACAAACUGGCUUAUGAAAACGCUGAAAACAUUUAGACAGCAACUACUUCGUUUGCUAAGAUCAGGAUGAGACCUAAUGCGGAGGUGAAGAUUAUCCCAUAUCUGCUGACUGUGGGGUUCCUGCAUCUUCCUCAAAAACUUCUGGCACUGGCCACUCUCAGAGACAGGAUAUUGGACUAAAUGGACCUUGGGUCUGGUCAGACAUGGGCUUCUAGAACAUGGGAUUUUUCUGGGACAGCUACAGUGAAGCAGCAUAGAGUUGAAAGACUGUCCUUCAUCUCCUACUUCCAGAUGCUUUAUAGAUCGAGUCUUGCAAUAAGAUAUAUUUAAAGAAGAGCAUGUCCCCACCUGUAUAUAAAAAGGAGGUGAUGGAGUGGUUUUGUUGGAGUGAUGAUGAUGUAAACUCAGGAAGAUGUUGUUAAUGUGUACUAGAACAUUAUGUGCCUUGUCUAUUGGUUGUAUUUUAUUUAGGGUGCUUAAUACAGGACACCUGGGAAAAUUACUCAUAUUCAAGCGAGUUCAACAGCAAUCAAUCAGAACUAUCC